ACAGAUGACCGUCGCGUCGCACGCCAGACCGUUGUCCGGGCAUGCACUGCAUUUAUUGAGGGGACCGGAGGGCGAGGCACCUGUGCGCUCACAACAGACCAAAAGUUGCGCUGCCGAGCGCAUUGGGGGCGCCACUCGCGGUCAUGUCCAUGCCCGUCAAACUCGUAUGGCCGAUUGUCGACACGGGCGAGGGCAGUUUGACUUUAUUUCGCCAGCAUUGAAUGCCUUUAUUGGCCUUGUCGACGACAGCACCAUCCCUGGCGUAACCAGGCAAAGCAAGAACAAAAGAAUGAAAAUGGGUCCGUGGGUCCAUUCCUUGUGGGCAAAAGAAAAAAGACAAAAGCGACCCUCCUGCGUGGGCAGGGCGCCCUGCCUCCAAGCGGCCCCGCUCGGCGCCUAAUUGCACACGGAACCUGAAAAAGAGGUCACACCUGGU
This 436-nucleotide long non-coding RNA is filed under the name Pandoravirus celtis. RNAcentral describes it as "hypothetical ncRNA". The record is from RNAcentral.